Molecule: ribosomal RNA, 235 nt
Filed under: Acinetobacter nosocomialis
Lineage: Bacteria; Pseudomonadati; Pseudomonadota; Gammaproteobacteria; Moraxellales; Moraxellaceae
Description: partial 23S ribosomal RNA
Rfam family: Bacterial large subunit ribosomal RNA
Source: RNAcentral
GUACCGGUUGUGACGCCAGUCGCAUCGCCGGGUAGCUAUGUUCGGAAGGGAUAACCGCUGAAAGCAUCUAAGCGGGAAGCCUACCUCAAGAUAAGAUUUCCCUAGGACUUUAUGUCCUCUAAAGAGCCGUUCGAGACUAGGACGUUGAUAGGUUGGAUGUGGAAGCAUAGUGAUAUGUGAAGCUGACCAAUACUAAUUGCUCGUGAGGCUUGACUAUACAACACCCAAGCAGUUG